Labrus bergylta (ballan wrasse) is the source of this 1051-nucleotide non-coding RNA. Lineage: Eukaryota; Metazoa; Chordata; Actinopteri; Labriformes; Labridae. The record is from RefSeq and is a predicted model, not a curated record.
GAGACUGGUCCUGAGUACUACAACACCAGUCUUCGUUUUGUGGAUGCUGAACUGAAACACUCGCAGACCCCAGAAAAGCUGUUACGUAACGAGCAUAAAACAAAUAUAAAACACACGCAGGUCAUGCACUUGAAUGAAGCAAAAUGAACAAAGCGAGAAGGGUUUAUGUGGGGAAAUAACACCUCAUUUAUGAAAUAAAAAGCUCCAAAAAUCUUCACCAUAAUUAAGACCAGGAAAAACAAAACAGUGUCUUUAACCUGUCAACACCCCAAAAAGAGCCUUUUUAACGUCUCUGUCUUCAAACAGCAGCACCCCUUCACUUAUUUUAUGAAAGGUCAUGUUGUUUUCAUGGUUUUAAUGUUUCUCUUUUUGAUUUUUUCCAGCAUGACGGCCAGCCCUAUUGCCACAAGCCAUGCUAUGCCGUCCUCUUCGGGCCCAAAGGCGUGAACACUGGUGGUGUGGGCAGCUACAUCUAUGAGAAGGAGCCCAGUGCAGUGACCCAGCCCUGAACCUUAGACCCUCUCCCUUCAGCCUCAUCCCUCUGCUCAACUCAACACUGACCACAUCAACCACAGUAUUAGUCUUGGCCUCUUUUUUUUUUUUCCCUCUCUCUCUCUCCUUCACCUGUGCGAUUAUACCUGAGACAACCAGCCUGCUGCUCCGGAUCCUUCUCUCCUUCAUUCCCACCUGCUUCUAGCACCAUGAGGAGUAACUCCAAGUAGCCCUAAACAUGUGUUCAAUGUAUUUCCUCAACCACAUCCCAGCAUCCCUCCACAUUAGCUCCAUGCUAAUAAACAGCAUUCAAGUAAAGUCACCCAUUUUUGCCAUGUUUACACAUUCUAAUGUAUCUUAACACAUUAAAUGUCACCACAAAUGAACAAAAAGGUGUUUCAAUGUACAGCCUAAAAAAAAAGAAAAAAAAAAGAAGAUGGGCAGUCAUUCUCAGGUGUGGAGAGGGUGCAUUGUGGGUUUAGCUGCAGCAUGUUGACAAACAAUGGAGGAAUUUCUGUCGCAGACACAGGUGUUGCUCAGGAGUACUUUGCCAAUAAAA